RNAcentral lists this ribosomal RNA (1469 nucleotides) under metagenome. RNAcentral's name for it is "bacterial SSU rRNA". It matches the Rfam family "Bacterial small subunit ribosomal RNA". The record is from RNAcentral.
AGAGUUUGAUCCUGGCUCAGGACGAACGCUGGCGGCGUGCCUAACACAUGCAAGUCGAACGGGGUGAGGCCCUUCGGGACCUUACCUAGUGGCGAACGGGUGAGUAACGCGUGAGGAACCUGCCUUUCAGUGGGGGACAACAGUUGGAAACGACUGCUAAUACCGCAUGAAGCUUUUGGGAGACAUCUCCUGGAAGCCAAAGCUUAAUGUGCUGAAAGAUGGCCUCGCGUCUGAUUAGCUAGUUGGUGGGGUAACGGCCCACCAAGGCGACGAUCAGUAGCCGGUCUGAGAGGAUGAACGGCCACAUUGGGACUGAGAUACGGCCCAGACUCCUACGGGAGGCAGCAGUGGGGAAUAUUGGGCAAUGGGCGAAAGCCUGACCCAGCAACGCCGCGUGAAGGAAGAAGGCCUUCGGGUUGUAAACUUCUUUUACCAGGGACGAAGGACGUGACGGUACCUGGAGAAAAAGCAACGGCUAACUACGUGCCAGCAGCCGCGGUAAUACGUAGGUUGCAAGCGUUGUCCGGAUUUACUGGGUGUAAAGGGCGUGUAGGCGGAGAUGCAAGUUAGGAGUGAAAUCUAUGGGCUCAACCCAUAAACUGCUUCUAAAACUGUAUCCCUUGAGUAUCGGAGAGGCAAGCGGAAUUCCUAGUGUAGCGGUGAAAUGCGUAGAUAUUAGGAGGAACACCAGUGGCGAAGGCGGCUUGCUGGACGACAACUGACGCUGAGGCGCGAAAGCGUGGGGAGCAAACAGGAUUAGAUACCCUGGUAGUCCACGCUGUAAACGAUGAAUACUAGGUGUGGGGGGACUGACCCCCUCCGUGCCGCAGUUAACACAAUAAGUAUUCCACCUGGGGAGUACGACCGCAAGGUUGAAACUCAAAGGAAUUGACGGGGGCCCGCACAAGCAGUGGAGUAUGUGGUUUAAUUCGACGCAACGCGAAGAACCUUACCAAGUCUUGACAUCCUGCGACGAUGCUGGAAACAGUAUUUUCCUUCGGGGCGCAGAGACAGGUGGUGCAUGGUUGUCGUCAGCUCGUGUCGUGAGAUGUUGGGUUAAGUCCCGCAACGAGCGCAACCCUUACUGUCAGUUACUACGCAAGAGGACUCUGGCAGGACUGCCGUUGACAAAACGGAGGAAGGUGGGGAUGACGUCAAAUCAUCAUGCCCUUUAUGACUUGGGCUACACACGUACUACAAUGGCGUUAAACAAAGAGAAGCAAGACCGCGAGGUGGAGCAAAACUCAGAAACAACGUCCCAGUUCGGACUGCAGGCUGCAACUCGCCUGCACGAAGUCGGAAUUGCUAGUAAUCGUGGAUCAGCAUGCCACGGUGAAUACGUUCCCGGGCCUUGUACACACCGCCCGUCACACCAUGAGAGCCGGGGGGACCCGAAGUCGGUAGUCUAACCGCAAGGAGGACGCCGCCGAAGGUAAAACUGGUGAUUGGGGUGAAGUCGUAACAAGGUA